UGCCAGCAGCCGCGGUAAGACGAAGGUGGCGAGCGUUAUUCGGAUUUACUGGGCAUAAAGCGCGCGUAGGCGGCUCGGUCAGUCGGAGGUGAAAGCCCACAGCUCAACUGUGGAACUGCCCUCGAUACUGCCGAGCUUGAGUGUAGGAGAGGUGACCGGAACUCCAGGUGUAGCGGUGAAAUGCGUAGAUAUCUGGAGGAACACCAGAGGCGAAGGCGGGUCACUGGACUAUUACUGACGCUGAGGUGCGAAAGCUAGGGGAGCGAACAGGAUUAGCUA
Molecule: ribosomal RNA, 279 nt
Filed under: uncultured bacterium
Lineage: Bacteria
Description: partial 16S ribosomal RNA
Rfam family: Bacterial small subunit ribosomal RNA
Source: RNAcentral